UGGGGAAUUUUGGACAAUGGGCGAAAGCCUGAUCCAGCAAUGCCGCGUGUGUGAAGAAGGCCUUCGGGUUGUAAAGCACUUUUGUCCGGAAAGAAAUCCUUGGCUCUAAUACAGUCGGGGGAAUGACGGUACCGGAAGAAUAAGCACCGGCUAACUACGUGCCAGCAGCCGCGGUAAUACGUAGGGUGCAAGCGUUAAUCGGAAUUACUGGGCGUAAAGCGUGCGCAGGCGGUUUGCUAAGACCGAUGUGAAAUCCCCGGGCUCAACCUGGGAACUGCAUUGGUGACUGGCAGGCUAGAGUAUGGCAGAGGGGGGUAGAAUUCCACGUGUAGCAGUGAAAUGCGUAGAGAUGUGGAGGAAUACCGAUGGCGAAGGCAGCCCCCUGGGCCAAUACUGACGCUCAUGCACGAAAGCGUGGGGAGCAAACAGGAUUAGAUACCCUGGUAGUCCACGCCCUAAACGAUGUCAACUAGUUGUUGGGGAUUCAUUCCUUAGUAACGUAGCUAACGCGUGAAGUUGACCGCCUGGGGAGUACGGUCGCAAGAUUAAAACUUCAAAUGAAUUGACGGGGUCAUAGCUGUUUCCU
Molecule: ribosomal RNA, 586 nt
Filed under: uncultured bacterium
Lineage: Bacteria
Description: partial 16S ribosomal RNA
Rfam family: Bacterial small subunit ribosomal RNA
Source: RNAcentral